CGAGCUCACACAUUCAGUUUAGGCUUGGCUCUCGAAGGAGAAGCACGCGCUCUCGGUCUCGUCUCUCCCAUACACGACGUGUCGACUGAUUUCACGAAUUUGUCCAAGUGGCUUCAAUCAACACGUGUCAAAAAUCCUGAAUGAAACAGAAGAAUAAAAAAAAAAGAAGAGAGAGGAAAAUUAUCGUGACAAACAUAUGCAUUCGUUUAGUUUUCUAUUCGGAGAAAACUAACCACGCCCAAAUAAUUUAUGAUAAUCAUAAUAGUUAUACAAAACUCAUGGUCAACAACCUUGCAAAAAUAUAGCAAUAAAAGAGCGCAGAAAGCGAGCAGAUUUGCGCUAUCAUCAUCGUCAUCAAGUGCCAUUUUGACAGAGAAAGUGCACUUCUCGAAUCUACUUUGUUUCCUUGUUACAUCGAUUUUUUUUUUUUUUACUUUUUAUUUUAAAUAUCUCCUUUUCGAUUAGCGAGUGUUGUUUUUUUUUCAGGUGAAGAAUGUAACGCUAUCAGUCGUACUUCUCAAAAAAAUACAAGAUAUGGUUAAAUAAAGAAGAGUUGUAUAAAGAAAAAAAUAGACAACUGAUACACACACAAAAAAAAAAAAAAGAUAAUAAAACAUUUCCAAAAUCAUAAAAUUAGAAAAGGUAAAAAAAGAAAAGAAAAGAAAAAAAAUAACAACCAAGAUAAAAACAAAAUCGACAAGAUUUAUACAUAGGCCACAACGCCUCUGGGUCAAGCAUCUUACCUUUUACCUUCGAUCACUUUUCGUCCGUUUUAUUUCCCCGCCUCUAAGCUCGCCAGCAGCAUGAGCAGGUGGCUAACGACGACCAUGUUCUUCCUGCUGCCUCUCCUGCUGCUGCUAACGAGGACAGCGCCCUCAGAAGCUACCUGCGGCUCGUGUAAUGAACGGCUGAAAGUGUCCAUCAUAUGCUGUUUGUUCGAAGGGAAAUGCUGCGUUCUAGGACCCGUUGCGAUCGGCAAACGUGACGUCACAUCGGCGUUGCAGCGACAUCCAUGGAGCGAUGACGUCGACAGUGACAUCAGUGAAAGAAUCGUUCAUCCACACGCCCGUCCGCGUUGACCUCACUCGACCAUGACUUUCUUUUUUCUUGAAUUUGUUGAGGGGGGUUAUGAUUUUUCAAUGCGGGGGGGGGGGGGGGUUAAUGCCUUUUAUAUACUUUUGUAUUUGUUAACUUCAGCAUUUUUCUUUUGUCAAUGUUUUUUUGUUUUUUUUUACUUUACUUUACUUUACUUUAUCAUUAAAAUAAAAAAUGAAGUUUAGUGUAUUUGCAUAUUCACGCUCACAAAUGAUAAAAAAUUAUGAAGAAAACAUUAUCUUUGUUAUCACUCGCACGGGUUAUGAUUCACAUGAGAAAUGUUUUUUUAAUGAUCACGAAGAUUUUCUCACAUGUGUUACCCAGUCUUUACUGGAAAAUUACUUAUAACAGUCAGUGUUGUCAUUAAUUAUCAAUUAUGUAUACUACUCACUUCCAGACAUUAUAUACCACGAAUCUCCCCAUAUUCAAUUCCAGGACACUCCAGUUAUACACAAACUAUAAAAAAAUACCAUACACGUGUUUAUAUAUGUGUGUG
Molecule: long non-coding RNA, 1591 nt
Organism: Penaeus indicus
Lineage: Eukaryota; Metazoa; Arthropoda; Malacostraca; Decapoda; Penaeidae
Exons: 3
Source: RefSeq, a predicted model, not a curated record